AUGAAUUUAGUUUAAAUAAAAUAUUAGUUUGUCAUAUUAAAGAUACAUUUUUUGUAAUUCAUU
RNAcentral lists this transfer RNA (63 nucleotides) under Benedenia seriolae. Its description in RNAcentral is "tRNA-Asp". The record is from RNAcentral. Lineage: Eukaryota; Metazoa; Platyhelminthes; Monogenea; Capsalidea; Capsalidae.